Cucumis melo (muskmelon) is the source of this 391-nucleotide long non-coding RNA. RefSeq lists it as uncharacterized. Lineage: Eukaryota; Viridiplantae; Streptophyta; Magnoliopsida; Cucurbitales; Cucurbitaceae. The transcript is spliced from 2 exons. The record is from RefSeq and is a predicted model, not a curated record.
UCGGUAUCAAGUGCGAAGUUGAGGGAUCGAAGGAGCCAGGACCACAAGGGCUUCACAGCUUCACAGCGAAGGAAAAGGCACCACAUGAAGAAUUUUAUCUUCAUUGGAAUGUUGGAUUUCCAUAUGAUUUCUAGAAGCUUUGCUCGAGGGUCCCCAGGGGUUUGGUCGAACUGACGAGAAAUGAAAUUUUUGGCAGAGGCGAUGGAGAAAGAUUUGUUGCUGUCAGGAAUCCAGGUAGUCUUACUUGACCCUCUAUUAGUUCUCGGAAUAGGAAGGAUCUCUAAAAUUUUCUCCCAGGUGCAUCUUUCUCUAAAUAUAAUGAAAUGCCAAAAUAUUUACUGUCCAUGUAACAAAAUCAAAAAGUUCAUGAAGUCGGCCAAUUUUUUAAAUA